GCGAAUAUAGUCUAGUGGUAUGACUUUGGCCUUCCAAGCCAAGGGCCCGGGUUCAAUUCCCGGUAUUCGCA
This 71-nucleotide transfer RNA is filed under the name Candidatus Nanohalarchaeota archaeon. RNAcentral describes it as "Candidatus Nanohaloarchaeota archaeon tRNA-Gly". It matches the Rfam family "tRNA". From Rfam's summary of the family: Transfer RNA (tRNA) molecules are approximately 80 nucleotides in length. Their secondary structure includes four short double-helical elements and three loops (D, anti-codon, and T loops). The record is from RNAcentral. RNAcentral also lists the same sequence under 1 other name. Lineage: Archaea; Nanobdellati; Candidatus Nanohalarchaeota.